Molecule: ribosomal RNA, 293 nt
Filed under: Acinetobacter sp. arc5
Lineage: Bacteria; Pseudomonadati; Pseudomonadota; Gammaproteobacteria; Moraxellales; Moraxellaceae
Description: partial 16S ribosomal RNA
Rfam family: Bacterial small subunit ribosomal RNA
Source: RNAcentral
CCCUUACGACCAGGGCUACACACGUGCUACAAUGGUCGGUACAAAGGGUUCCUAGCGAUAGAUGCUAUCUAAAAAGCCGAUCGUAGUCCGGAUUGGAGUCUGCAACUCGACUCCAUGAAGUCGGAAUCGCUAGUAAUCGCGGAUCAGAAUGCCGGUGAAUACGUUCCCGGGCCUUGUACACACCGCCCGUCACACCAUGGGAGUUUGUUGCACCAGAAGUAGGUAGUCUAACCGUAAGGAGGACGCUUACACGGUGUGGCCGAUGACUGGGGUGAAGUCGUAACAAGGUAACC